AUUGAACGCUGGCGGCAUGCCUUACACAUGCAAGUCGAACGGUAACGGGCCUUAGGGUGCCGACGAGUGGCGGACGGGAGAGUAAUACAUCGGAACGUGCCCGCUCGUGGGGGGUAACGGGGCGCAAGCUUUGCUAAUAGCGAAUACCAUCUACGGAUGAUAGCAGGGGACCGCAAGGCCUUACGCGGCCGGAGCGUCCGAUGGCAGAUUAGGUAGUUGGUGGGAUAAAAGUGUACCAAGCCGACGAUCUGUAGCUGGUCUGAGAGGAUGAUCCCCCACACUGGGACGGAGACACGGCCCAGACUCCUACGGGAGGCAGAAGAGGGGAAUUUUGGACAAUGGGGGCAGUCCUGAUCCAGCCAUGCCGCGUGGAGGAUGAAGGCCUUCGGGUUGUAAACUGCGUUUGUACGGAACGAAAAGCCUUCUUUUAAUACAGGAGGGUCAUGACGGUACCGUAAGAAUAAGCACCGGCUAACUACGUG
RNAcentral lists this ribosomal RNA (482 nucleotides) under uncultured bacterium. RNAcentral describes it as "partial 16S ribosomal RNA". It matches the Rfam family "Bacterial small subunit ribosomal RNA", at positions 30 to 507 of the family's 1533-position model. The record is from RNAcentral.